RNAcentral lists this ribosomal RNA (368 nucleotides) under uncultured organism. Its description in RNAcentral is "bacterial SSU rRNA". It matches the Rfam family "Bacterial small subunit ribosomal RNA", at positions 526 to 896 of the family's 1533-position model. The record is from RNAcentral.
CGGAGGGUGCAAGCGUUAUCCGGAUUUACUGGGUUUAAAGGGUGUGUAGGCGGGCUAUUAAGUCAGCGGUGGAAUCUCCGGGCUCAACCCGGAAACUGCCAUUGAUACUAUUAGUCUUGAAUUUUGUUGAGGUAGGCGGAAUAAGUCAUGUAGCGGUGAAAUGCAUAGAUAUGACUUAGAACACCAAUUGCGAAGGCAGCUUGCUAAACAAAUAUUGACGCUGAGGCACGAAAGCGUGGGGAUCAAACAGGAUUAGAUACCCUGGUAGUCCACGCCCUAAACGAUGAUUACUCGACAUACGCGAUACACAGUGUGUGUCUGAGCGAAAGCAUUAAGUAAUCCACCUGGGAAGUACGACCGCAAGGUUG